GAUGAACGCUGGCGGCGUGCCUAAUACAUGCAAGUCGAGCGAACAGACGAGGAGCUUGCUCCUCUGACGUUAGCGGCGGACGGGUGAGUAACACGUGGAUAACCUACCUAUAAGACUGGGAUAACUUCGGGAAACCGGUGCUAAUACCGGAUAACAUGUUGAACCGCAUGGUUCAACAGUGAAAGACGGUCUUGCUGUCACUUAUAGAUGGAUCCGCGCCGCAUUAGCUAGUUGGUAAGGUAACGGCUUACCAAGGCAACGAUGCGUAGCCGACCUGAGAGGGUGAUCGGCCACACUGGAACUGAGACACGGUCCAGACUCCUACGGGAGGCAGCAGUAGGGAAUCUUCCGCAAUGGGCGAAAGCCUGACGGAGCAACGCCGCGUGAGUGAAGAAGGUCUUCGGAUCGUAAAACUCUGUUAUUAGGGAAGAACAAAUGUGUAAGUAACUAUGCACGUCUUGACGGUACCUAAUCAGAAGGCCACGGCUAACUACGUG
RNAcentral lists this ribosomal RNA (497 nucleotides) under uncultured bacterium. RNAcentral's name for it is "partial 16S ribosomal RNA". It matches the Rfam family "Bacterial small subunit ribosomal RNA", at positions 28 to 507 of the family's 1533-position model. The record is from RNAcentral.